ACCUCCUUGAAUGUUAGAUCAAUAGCAGGGUAUUUUGACGCACAUUACAAGAAAUUUGAAAUAAAACCUACGCUUCAUUUUAAGGUUUUCUAUAUAACAGAACACAUUGCGCACAGUUGCUGCGUCACUUGCCGUGUAGACGUGAGAUGUAAACAAUGAUUUUUCUUUUUACUUAGGUUAGUCAGUUCUAAUGGAAACGGUAUGAAAAUAAUUGAGAAUAUAGAGUAACUUAAUAAAUAUGUGAAUAUAAAAAUACAUUUUCUAAUAAGAUACUUCAGAGCUGAGCAAAUUGAUAUGGUACGAAGUGCCAAGAUUUUGUCAUAAAUAAUCUGUGUUGUAGAAUUAACGAGAAAAGAUAACCUUCCUUUAGAUUUACUUUGAAUUAUUCAGUUAUAUAUUUAUUUCUCAUUCAUUGUUUCGUACAUUUUUAUUGCUAAUUGAUUGAAAAACUAAUUUUCAUAGACAUUUUUCCAAUGGAAAAAACCAAUAACACUAACCUUUAUUAGUAAACUUCAUUACUAUUUUAGUAAGAAAUGAGAUAUCUACAAAUACAAAUAUCAGUUUAAACUAAUCACAUCAAUUAAUAUUACUCUGAAACUAAUAAAUUUAAUACAGUUAACAUUCUAUACAAUAACUUAACUCAAUAAUGUUCUUAUAGCACUUACACUUUUUUCAGAUUAUGAACGAUAAUAAAGAAUAGAGAGAAUUAGUUAAUAUAUUGCAGUAACAUGUAUUGUUUAUUAAGAUCAUUCUUUCAAAUGAUUUUACAAAGGUUGUCAAGAAUAAAACUGAAACAUGUCUGUAUAGGAUUUAGCAUAAUUUUCUUAUUAGAUUUUUUUGGAGUUUUCACUCACAUGUUUGAAUUAUCAUAUGAUGAAAAAUUCAGUUAUCCAUAUGAAGGUGAUAUUCAUGAAUUUGUUGUUGCUUUAAGACAUAAUAAGAAACCAAGUGUGCCUCCUAUCAAUAUAUACAAUUAUAGCUACAUCCAUGACAUAAAAGACACAUGUAUAAGAAGAAGUUUUCAUCCAUUACGUUUAGUAUUAUUAGUUAAAUCAGCCGUUGAAAAUUUUAAUAGAAGAAUGGCAAUUAGACAUUCAUGGGGAUUUGAGAAAAGAUUUUCUGAUGUCUCUAUAAAAACUGUUUUUCUGUUGGGUACUCAUGAAAAUGAUGAUGAACUACGAACAAGGAUUAAUACAGAAGCAGUCAAGUAUCAGGAUAUUGUCCAAAUUGAUUAUAUUGAUUCAUACUUCAAUAAUACCAUCAAAACUAUGAUGGGCUUUAAUUGGGCAGUAAACUAUUGCUCUAAUUCUAAAUUUUAUAUGUUUGUUGAUGAUGAUAUGUAUGUAUCUGUAAAAAAUAUUUUAAGAUUUGUUAGAAAUCCAACUUUGUAUCCCGAGUACUUGACAGACUCUUUAAAAUUUAGUGAGUGUCAAUAUUCUUUUUUAAAAUUACAUAUGAGCCUUGUAAAAGUAACAAAAUUUGUUCAUUUGUUUAUUUUUUUUACAGGAGAUGUUGCACACUUGAAAGAUAGGCCAAAAAGAUCUGCUACAUAUAACUCUACAAUACUCUACGACAAUCAAGUAGAUAAAGGUAGGAUUCAGACAAACAAUUUAAGUAAUGAAAUAAACAAAUUAGAUAUAGGACAUACCAAAUUAAGGAACAAAAUUGAAAAGAGUGCUAGAAUGAAAACAAAUAACAAAGAAAAUUACAAAAAUAUAAAGAAGCGACAAGUAUUUGAUUUUGAAUUGCCAGAAGAUGUAAGACUGUUUGCUGGCUAUGUAUUUGUUUCAGCACCACAUAGACACAGAACUUCAAAAUGGUAUAUUUCAUUGAAAGAAUAUCCAUACCACAUGUGGCCACCCUAUGUAACUGCAGGAGCUUACAUAGUGUCAAAAGAAGCUCUAUUAGAUCUUUACUAUGCUAGUAUAUACACCAAACAUUUCAAGUUUGAUGAUAUAUUUUUGGGGCUUGUUGCCAAGAAGGCUGAUAUAGAACCAUUCCAUUGCGGAGAAUUCCAUUUCUAUAAAAAAGAAUAUACAAAAUACAAUUACAAGUAUGUUAUUAGUUCGCACGGUUAUAGUGAUCCAGGUGAACUAUUACGAGUAUGGAAUGAACAAAAAGCAAUGGGUAAUGCAUAAUACGAAGAAGACUAUAGAAGUAAAUAAAUAUAUGGUCCUCUGCAUUCCAAAAUGUUGAAGCUUAUUUCUGAAUCUUUCUUUUAGUAUUAUACAAAAAAUCUAACUAUGUAUAUUAUGCAACUUAACAAGAAACAUCCUGAAUAUAGAAACUCUAGCUUACAACAUAAAAAUGCAAGCUUUAAAUUUUGAACUCAAUUAAUAUGUGUAGUUCUAUAAUAACGAAUUUUCCUACAAGUGCCAUCAAUGUCUACGUAGUUUAAAAAAUUUAUACAUCAAAUUAGCAGAAAAUAUUACACCUAAAAUAUUUUUCUAUGUGGCAAAUUCAUGUUCAUGUUUGCUAAGAUAAUCAUUCUAGAUAUUAUAAAUGAUAUAGAUUUGAAAAUAUUUUAUUCUUCCUAUAGUACAUUUAUUCAAUGCUGUGACUAAAUACUUUGCAAUUUUUGGUAAUAAAAAUAAUAUGUAAAAAUCCGAAUUAGUUAUUUUUAAAUUAUUUAUUAUUAGAACGAAACAACCGUUAAUUUUAUUCCCGUUAUAAUCGUUUGAUUGGUUCAAAUUUCUAAUUGAUGAAUUCCGCCGGCGAAUCAUACAAAGGUUGACCAAUGUAAACAGUACGUGUUAUAGACAUGAACACGUGGGCAAACUGUUACUUUGAUAUUAAAUAAAUCAUUUGUUUCGUCGAUUCAACGUUAAACAUCCUUCAUUAUUCGAUUUGUAAAAUGUCAACAAUGGACAAAAUAACUUCUUUGGUUUUGAUGCCCAGAGAAUCUGGGAAAUUCAUUGCUCAAUCAGCAUCAAACGUUUUUGUCAAAACUGAAGGAGUCAAAGAACUCGCGAGUGAGAUAUUAGAAAACUUAAAAAAUGGCCGUAUAAGCAUCAAAAACUUUUCUCAACAUUCUCUUCAUCCAUCGCCACAUGAUCGGAAGGUCUUUGAUUGGCUAUUAGUUUUAGAUUCAUUGAAUUUUUGUUUCUGGAGUGACA
RNA transcript from Phymastichus coffea, 3116 nucleotides. It is a transcript of the gene named queuosine 5'-phosphate N-glycosylase/hydrolase, with no coding region annotated. The record is from RefSeq and is a predicted model, not a curated record. Lineage: Eukaryota; Metazoa; Arthropoda; Insecta; Hymenoptera; Eulophidae. The transcript is spliced from 3 exons.